RNAcentral lists this ribosomal RNA (465 nucleotides) under uncultured bacterium. RNAcentral describes it as "partial 16S ribosomal RNA". It matches the Rfam family "Bacterial small subunit ribosomal RNA", at positions 28 to 507 of the family's 1533-position model. The record is from RNAcentral.
GACGAACGCUGGCGGCGUGCUUAACACAUGCAAGUCGAACGGAAAGGCCCUGCUUGCAGGGUACUCGAGUGGCGAACGGGUGAGUAACACGUGGGUGAUCUGCCCUUCACUUCGGGAUAAGCCUGGGAAACUGGGUCUAAUACCGGAUAGGAGCCAUUUUUAGUGUGAUGGUUGGAAAGUUUUUUCGGUGUUGGAUGAGCUCGCGGCCUAUCAGCUUGUUGGUGGGGUAAUGGUCUACCAAGGCGGCGACGGGUAGCCGGCGUGAGAGGGUGGACGGCCACAUUGGGUCGGGGAUACGGCCCAGACUCCGACGGGGGGACGAAGUGGGGAAUAUUGCACAAGGGGCGCAAGCCUGUUGCAGCGGGUUCCCGGGUGGGAUGACGGUCUUCGGGUUGUAAACGCCGUUCGUUAGGGACGAAGCAUUUUGUGACGGUACCUAGAUAAGAAGCCCCGGCUAACUACGUG